Molecule: long non-coding RNA, 1323 nt
Organism: Triticum dicoccoides
Lineage: Eukaryota; Viridiplantae; Streptophyta; Magnoliopsida; Poales; Poaceae
Exons: 2
Source: RefSeq, a predicted model, not a curated record
GAAAUCGACGGUUCAAAAAUCGAUUGGGCCAAAAUUAAUUUUCAAGCGACUUACAUGUAACUAAAAUGAACAGAUUAACCGAAUGAUAGCACACCCGACAACGCACGAACUGGAUCAAGCCCGUGUCGUGGCAGAGCCAUAUGCGGUAUGCACAUUUAGCAACACCAAAAAUGUUGAAUCAAAAAGUGAACAACUAGAGUCGAAACGAACCUUCCGUGCCUCCCGAGUCGCUUCGCUCGGGCGACUCCGAAGGCGACCAACUCCUAGCCAACAAACCUAGCGUCAGAUCUCAUCUCGCCGCCACCGUCGGCCGUGGCCGGCGGCGGUGGCAGUACCCUUUCAUCAAAGGCGAAGGGAGUGGAGGGUACACCUUGGCUACGUCCUUCAUGAGCGAGGAGGCGACUCCUGCAGGUGUGCGACUAGCCACGACGGCGGCGGAUCAUGGCGUUGUGGUGCUAGGAAGCUAGCUGCGGCUGUGCGUGCUGUACUGCACCAGGCCGUGCUUGGUGGUGCUAGGCCUCAGGCGCUUGGCCUGUGUUUAGUCUGGCCGGGCUUUGCCUUCAGAUCUGACGGUUGAAGGCUUGUUGGCUUCUUGGAUGGUAGCCGGAUGUUGACGGAGUGCGUAUCGGCUCAUCCCAGCGACCAGCGGCUGUGCCGUCCAUGGCGGUGUUCUGGCUCGGGCGGCUAAGGACCAUGGCUUGGUGGUGAUGAUACGGAUUUGAUCGGCUGGAGGGUGGCGACUGCAACUAUAUUGCAACGACUUCCUACAAUUCCUCGGCGACGGUGGUCAUCGAGAGGUCUUUCAGAGGGUUCAUCUCCUCUUGAACCGGUGGUUGACUUUGACGGUGAGAUACAAAUUAUGGAUGAAGACUUGACGCAAAGGGAUGGUGGUGCAGUGGCGGUGAUCGCAUCACAUGCAGCUGCUGGGAUUGUGGAAACGUGGUAACGACAACAUAUGAGAGACUUCGAUUGUCGUGCUACUCAAGAACCCAGUCUCGAGCUCUAAGGCGAAAGCCUAGGUGACGGCGACGCUUGAGUGUCGCUCCCUUUCUGAAGGCGUUGUUGUUGAAGACUUCAUCGUCCAUGUGGUGUCAUGAGAUGGUUGGUGCAGAUACGAUCUUCACCGUAGUUUACCGAUGACAGAUCUUAUCGCUUAGGGCUUUUUUUCUUGUUUUUAUCCGUAUAGACAUAGCUUUGGUUUUAUAUGACUUUACUAUUUAUCGGCGUAUUUUUUACGUGUGUGUUAGUUUGUGUUGGCUGUGUGCAUCCUAGUUAUGCAGAGGACGGAUGUGUGCUCAUGUGUUAUAUAUCUUUUUGAUGCUC